Rhagoletis pomonella (apple maggot) is the source of this 399-nucleotide long non-coding RNA. RefSeq lists it as uncharacterized. The transcript is spliced from 3 exons. The record is from RefSeq and is a predicted model, not a curated record. NCBI's taxonomy places the organism in Eukaryota, Metazoa, Arthropoda, Insecta, Diptera, Tephritidae.
AGAUGGAGAAGGUACCAAGAGGUACUAAGGUACUAAACUAUUUGGACGACAAUGUAGACAUUACAAACGAUAAAUUUGUUGCGGCAGAUGGUGCCAAAUUUCGUGAAGAAAAGUGGAAAGAACUGGCGGUGAGCCUUAAUGGUCUUGGUGGCACUCAAAAGGAUGGUGCAAAAUGAAAGAAAAAAUAUAGUGCGAUAAGGCAGGCAGAGCAGAGAAGCGGCAUAAAUGGUUUCAGCCGGGCCAAAGCAUUGUCAACGCUGGAAUUUCUUGCAUUUUCCAGUUCUGCAUGAAAUUAAAAAAAUGAAUUCUUGUGGUUUCUGCUGCCGAAUGACCAUAUUUUUAUAGAAAAAUAAGAAAAAUGUGGCAUGGAAAGUAUAAAUAAAUAAAAACGUCGAAACG